This 1091-nucleotide long non-coding RNA is filed under the name Marmota monax (woodchuck). The record is from RNAcentral. Lineage: Eukaryota; Metazoa; Chordata; Mammalia; Rodentia; Sciuridae.
CUUGCCUGGAUCCCACAUGGCCUGUGCCACCUCAUCUGAGCUCAGAGCGGGUGCUUGAACUCUACCAGGCCCUGCGAUGGCCCUCAGUCUUGCUCAGGUGAAGUGUUUCUAAGACCACGGGGUCGGGGACUGGAGGGUGGUUUCAUCAGGAUUGCCCCAAAGUGUUUUUUAACUUGGGGACUCUGGUGCUGGAUGACGGCUGCCCUCCCCAGGGAGUGGGGGAGGGGCAGCCUGUGUAAUGAGUAUGGGGAACUAACUGUCAUCUAUGGCCUGGGCAGGGGCCCCUCAUGGAAUUCCAGCACUCUCUCCAUUUAAUGCAUGUCUGUGCUGUGCCAGCCCACUUUCUGCUGUUCCAAGUCUGUUUGUACUUCCCCACAGUGGUGUCCAGCACUGCCCUGGUCAGCAGGGAUAUCCUCCUUGGGAGGAGACAAGCUAGGAUCCUGUCCUAGACUGGAGCCUCCUGCCUGGUAGAAUCCCUUACCCAGCAGAAACUGGCUCCUAGCCCUUGUUCUCUUUUUCCUGGUCCCCAGCCCUUCACUCACCACCCCCAGCACCCCACUGUAUCUCCCAGCCCCUCUGCCCCCCACCUCCCUCUGGCAUUGCCCCUGCACCCUGCUACGGGAUACCCCGUCAUGAUUCCCUCCAGAUGAGACACCUGGGCCUCUCUCACCAGCCUCUGUCCUCUCCUCCAAGCAGCGUCCCCAAGACACAGGGUGGGGGCAAGAGCCUCUCCCAACGCCCCCACUCCCCAUUCUUUCCUUGUCCAUCUGCGUGUCAAACCUGGAGUGACUCUAGCACCUGGUGCCUUAACCCGGUCACAUAAGCCCCCAGCAGUCUCAGGUGUGAUUGACCAAUCAGGUCCCGAAAUGACUGACAAGUGAAAGUGCUUAUGGCUAAAAUGGUCUGAAUCUGGGCUUGGCUUUAAAAUACUCCCGGGGACCCAAAGUAGAGGAAAUGGAUGGAACCGGAUGGAUUUGUGCUGACAUCUGUAGACCCGGGGGCUCAGACACUGCCCUUUCUGCUUUUGUUAAUGUCUGUCCUAUGAAGAGAGUUUUUAAAGGUAGUUGUGGCAUGGAAUUUGUUCCCAGAUG